GAUGAACGCUGGCGGCGUGCCUAAUACAUGCAAGUCGAGCGAACAGACGAGGAGCUUGCUCCUCUGACGUUAGCGGCGGACGGGUGAGUAACACGUGGAUAACCUACCUAUAAGACUGGGAUAACUUCGGGAAACCGGAGCUAAUACCGGAUAACAUGUUGAACCGCAUGGUUCAACAGUGAAAGACGGUCUUGCUGUCACUUAUAGAUGGAUCCGCGCCGCAUUAGCUAGUUGGUAAGGUAACGGCUUACCAAGGCAACGAUGCGUAGCCGACCUGAGAGGGGGAUCGGCCACACUGGAACUGAAACACGGUCCAGACUCCUACGGGAGGCAGCAGUAGGGAAUCUUCCGCAGUGGGCGAAAGCCUGACGGAGCAACGCCGCGUGAGUGAUGAAGGUCUUCGGAUCGUAAAACUCUGUUAUUAGGGAAGAACAAAUGUGUAAGUAACUAUGCACGUCUUGACGGUACCUAAUCAGAAAGCCACGGCUAACUACGUG
RNAcentral lists this ribosomal RNA (497 nucleotides) under uncultured bacterium. Its description in RNAcentral is "partial 16S ribosomal RNA". It matches the Rfam family "Bacterial small subunit ribosomal RNA", at positions 28 to 507 of the family's 1533-position model. The record is from RNAcentral.